UUUCCAGGGAAGGACCCAGGACUUCUCCGGUUCCUGGUAGAUGUGCAGCAGGUGCGCAUUGUAAGCGCGUUGAUGUCUGGUUGGGGAGCGCCAUGCCAGCACAUUUUAAAAGGUCUUUGUUUGUUUGUUGAUUCAAAAAAAGGAAGGGGGAGAAAAGAGAGAGAAAAAGGAACGACGUGUAGCCUUUUGUGCGGGUUAAAGUCCUCGGCGAGCAAGGAGAGUGCAACAGGGAGAUAAGUGACAUUUGGGCUGGAGCGAACGAUAUGAGCAAUGUAUAUGAUUAUGUGGGCUGGUGUGUGGAAUUGAUGAUUGCCUGAAGUACUGCGGCAGGAAAGUAUUCUACGAUUGGCUCUGUGCGCUGUUGGGACUUCAUUGAUGAAGAUAGAAGAGCUGAAGCCUGAAGCCAUGCUGAAGCCUGAUUUAGAAGCAGAUACGCUGAUGAGCAACCGAGCCCCAUUCUUUCUGCCUGAGCUCCACAGAGAAGCUUAUCAUUGCAGCUACGUCGGUGAGCACCCUGACCUUUCAUUCUCUCUGCCUGAGCCCCACAGAGAAGCAGACACGCUGUGAACAUGCCGAUGGGCAACUGAGCCCCAUUCUUUCUGCCUGAGCUCUACAGAGAAGCAGUUACACUGCAGCUACGUCGGUGAGCAACUUGACCCCUCAUUCUCUCUGCCUGAGCCCCACAGAAUAGUCACGUUGACGAGGACCUCCCUUGUGUGACCAAGUAUUGUUAUGGAUUCCAGUGGCCUCCAAUUCAGUCCAGGCCUACACGGCGAAACCAUCUGCUCAACAUUCUUAGACUUUUAAAAUUAAUAAAACAUCCCUUUUAAUCUGU
This is a non-coding RNA of Pimephales promelas (fathead minnow), 835 nucleotides long. The record is from RefSeq and is a predicted model, not a curated record. NCBI's taxonomy places the organism in Eukaryota, Metazoa, Chordata, Actinopteri, Cypriniformes, Leuciscidae.